ACUGCUCAGUAACACGUGGACAACCUACCCUCAGAUCUGGGAUAAACCUGGGAAACUGGGUAUAAUACCGGAUAAACCUUGGAUGCUGGAAUGCACCGAGGUUCAAAGCUCCGGCGUCUGAGGAUGGGUCUGCGGCCUAUCAGGGUAGUAGUGGGUGUAAAGUACCUACUAGCCUACGACGGGUACGGGUUGUGAGAGCAAGAGCCCGGAGAUGGAUUCUGAGACACGAAUCCAGGCCCUACGGGGUGCAGCAGGCGCGAAAACUUUACAAUGCUGGCAACAGCGAUAAGGGGACCUUGAGUGCCAGGAUACAAUCUUGGCUGUCGUCGUGUCUAAAAAACACGAUAUAGCAAGGGCCGGGCAAGACCGGUGCCAGCCGCCGCGGUAACACCGGCGGCUCGAGUGGUAACCGCUAUUAUUGGGUCUAAAGGGUCUGUAGCCGGCUUGGUAAGUCUCUUGGGAAAUCCGGCAGCUCAACUGUCGGGCUUUCAGGAGAUACUGCCAGGCUCGAGACCGGGAGAGGUGAGAGGUACCUCAUGGGUAGGGGUGAAAUCUUGUAAUCCCUGUGGGACCACCUGUGGCGAAGGCGUCUUACCAGAACGGGUUCGACGGUGAGGGACGAAAGCUGGGGGCACGAACCGGAUUAGAUACCCGGGUAGUCCCAGCCGUAAACGAUGCUCGCUAGGUGUCAGGCAUGGCGCGACCGUGUCUGGUGCCGCAGGGAAGCCGUGAAGCGAGCCACCUGGGAAGUACGGCCGCAAGGCUGAAACUUAAAGGAAUUGGCGGGGGAGCA
RNAcentral lists this ribosomal RNA (793 nucleotides) under uncultured archaeon. RNAcentral's name for it is "bacterial SSU rRNA". It matches the Rfam family "Archaeal small subunit ribosomal RNA", at positions 85 to 878 of the family's 1478-position model. The record is from RNAcentral.